This 616-nucleotide long non-coding RNA is filed under the name Phoenix dactylifera (date palm). Its description in RNAcentral is "long non-coding RNA (PDAC_LNC003022)". The record is from RNAcentral. Lineage: Eukaryota; Viridiplantae; Streptophyta; Magnoliopsida; Arecales; Arecaceae.
AAUUUCUAAACCAAAUUGUUGUAGAAGUGAUUAAUAAUAAAAGACUUUUAAGAUAUUUUUGUAAAUUAGAAAAUAAUAAGCACUUCAAGUUACCUAAUCAACAUAUUUUACAAUUAAACAAAUGAUCCCAGUCAGACGAGAUUAUUGCACUAAAAUCUCAUCUGGUCAAGAAUCACUACAUACACUGUUAAUAUAUGCACACAAAUACUUAAUAUGGGGAUCGAUGCAUCCAAAUAUUUUUCAUAUGCAACUUCAGUAUCGAAGCAUUAGUAGUAAAAAACCUCCUAGACCUCUUCUUUUACCUUAUUUAUAUCCAUCCUCUCUUAGUCAAUAACCAUAAAAUUGAAAAUAACAGUAGAGGCAAAAAUGAAACUAUGAUCAAGUUUACCAUCCUUAGCAUGACAAAAGCUGUAGCAAAAAUCUGUUCCUAUUCAUAUCGUCCUUUCUCAUCCAGCAGUCACUCUCCUCACCAUAGCUCAGCCAUAAAUCUCAACGUUCGUGUGAGUUCUGCCACUGAUCCUAUCACAGAGUUGAUUAUUUUUGACAGUAAUCACCUAAUGCUAAUCCAAAGCCCUUUUAUCUGUUAGCCUCUCAAUUUACUUGAACGUUUCACACU